AAAUAACCGGAUGAGAACUACAAUCGCGUUUCGCUUCAAUAAUUACAGAUAUUGCUUUUAUUGUUAAUUACUCGCCAUAAUUUUAAUUGUAUUUUUAAUUAUCUGAUGUAUCGAUGCAUCGAACAUGAAACGUUUUCAAGGAGGCUUCUAAAUUCGUAUCUACAAUAUUCUCAUUCAAUUAUGUAUGGAGAGCUAUUUGUAAGAAAGGUUAGAUCGAAAGAGGUUCGAUACAAUAUCCCUCGAGACAUGUAUCGAGUUUAACGAGCGUUUCUCAUCCGUUCUUUUCAGAAAUAUCGAUACCGCGCAAAGUCGAAUAUGCGUAUAUACAUCGAAGAAUCGAUCGAGAUAAACUAUCGCGAUAAACAUAAACGCAAUAUGGACGCGUCGCUUGAUUUCGGCUCUUUCACGUGGUUUUCUUUACGAACGUUAUAAAUUUUAUCCUCGCAAAGAAUUUGGAACAUGAGUAACGCACACUCAAGCUGGUCGGAAAUGAGUGUUGUGUAAAAAGUUUCGUUUUCUUGCGCUUGUGCAAGUCGUCCGCUUUCGAAAAAUCAAGAGAAAAGAAAGAAAAGGAUUCUAACCUAUUUCCAUUUGCUUUGACGAAACGUUGGGUGCGCGCAUACACGGUCACGUGGUUCGCUAAAUAAAAAUAAAGCAUCUUGAUUCGAUUACUUGUUUCGCCGAUAAUUCGUUUCAUAAUUCUUAGCAUAAAAAUCGUGCUAUAUUAUGUAAUCAUGCGAUAAUGGAUAAUCGAGAAACUAUCAAAAUAUCGAUAAAAGAAUGAUGAAAAUCUUGGAUUCAGUGGCUUUAAGCAUAACAAAAACGAUUUCGUAUUUAUCUACGUAUCUUUACGAAUAAUAAAUUCGAUUCGGUGAAUGCAAUUUUUAAGAUGGCGAACGAAACAAACCUUUCCAAUUGUAUCCUAAUAUAUGGGAGUAUAGUUACGGGAAAUUUCUUUCGGAAGAAUUGCAAUAUUGAAGUUUAUCGCAAGAUUUUCCAUAACGGAGAAACAUAACAGAGAUAGAAAAAGAGGUACGGAUGAAGAUAAAAGUGGAGAAAGUACGAGAAAAGGAAAAUUGCGGAAAAUCUUACUUCUAAGAUUUCGUGACCCCGAAGAAGUUAUCCUUGAAGGUAGCGAGGUGGAAGAACAAAAAAGUAAAGAUGUUCGAAGAAAUCUUUUGACGAGAGGAAUGAGAAUAAGUUUGGAAGAAGAAAAGAUUUAUUUUAAAAGAAGCAUACAUACGUUGAACAGAAUGAGGUGUCGAUGAUAUAAACUGUUACGCAAGUGUAAUUUUUAAAUUUCACCGUUAAAUUAUAUCGGUAAUUCAAUCUCGGUCUAUUUCGCAAUUAAACUGUUUUCGAUUUCGUUUUGCAUACCUCUUCCUUCUUUACCUUUUUCAACGCGAUAGACAGAAUAAAUGGCAAUCGCGUUCAUUGCAGCAGGCGAGGCAAAUGCUUUUUUGCUCUUUUCGUGCUUCCUCGACUCGAGGAAAUGGUGGAAAACAUUUACAGCUUCGAAAUGGAAAUAAAAAAAAAAAAAGAAAAGAAAAAAAAGGAAGAAAGAAAGACUAAUCGAGAAUCCAUCUCUCGAUCUGGAAAACCUUUGCUCAUUUCUUUCCCAUUCUCCUUUACUUUUUCUUCCCUUUCAUUGCACAGCUGAUUCCUCCUGUUUUAUUUAUCUUUUUCCUUCUACAUUUUCCUAGGUUAAGAAAAAACUAAGAAUUUUCGAUCGAAUUUUUUUCCUUCAUUCCUUAUGCGAAUAUUUAUUUAAAGAAACUUAUUUGAAUGAAAUUAAUCUAGAAAAUCGCCGAUAUUCGAAAAACUAAAAACUUUAAGCCAGUUCCUUCCGAAAAUGCAAGUUUCUAUUCACGAUACAAUAUCGUUGCAAAUACCUUGGCGAGUAUCUUGCUCGAGUUUUUUCGUUGACCUCUUUUCCAAGAUCUCGCCUCUUAAAAUCGUAUACUCGCGGGAAAAAAUGGCGAUUGCGUUUGCGUCGAACCAAACCUAACCUAACCAAAAAUACGUUUAUAGACUCCCGCACGAUCGAGGAGAGAAUUCCAUUUUCAGUCUGGAAUUUAAUUCAUCGUGGAAUUUACGGGUGGAUUUGUUGCGCGAGAAAGGAAGAGACUGAUCGAGAGGUGGUUGCUCUGCCUAAUUAAAGAAUUCGCUAUUGCCGCGAGAGGAGAAAAUCCAUCCACGAGAGGAAAAAAAAUUGAUAGUAUCCAAGAGACGUUUUAAGAAUCCAGAAUAAAUUGUCAGAGGAGAGCUUGGAUGGGAAGAAAAAGAGAGGAAGAGAGAAUGUAAAGCAGAAAAGAGGCGAACAAAAGGAGGCGGCAUUUGACUACGUCCUAUGUAAUUUCCUACAAGAAUUACUUUCAAUUAAGUCCUUUGUGCCAUACCGAUCGAUCCGCUCGCCAAUUCCCUUCAACUUAAUUAGACUAACGAUUUUUCAGGUCCGAAUAUACGAAGUCUUGAACACGUGAAAAUGGCGUCUCCCCGCGUUUUCGAACAAUUUCUUCCAUCUUUCCCUGCCGAAUCGUGAACUCGCAACGCGCAGAAAGAACAAAUCUCGCGAGCGAAACUGUUGGAGAGGGGAGAAGAAGUACAUCCAUCUUAUCUGUCGAUUCGCUGUGCUAAAUGAAUUCGCAAGUGUAAACGUUAGAUAAAUUGGCGGGUCACGUUGCGGGAUCAGGAAAGGAAUCGCUGAACAGAAUAGGAGGAGGAGAACGGAGGGGGAUCGGGAGACGAGUACAGAUUUCAAUCCUUUCCUAUUUUCCCGAACGGAACGAAUUCCUCGAUUCAUCCUUGAAAAAUUAUUAUUGGACGAAUGAUGGAUCGAGAGAGUCGACUUCUUUCGAACGACCUAUAUGAAAUUGGAACGGAACUUUCUUCUUUGAGGGGUGAUGAAAUCAAGAAGAGGAGGGGUUCGUAGGACGAUCUAAAUAUUCUUCAGAAGAAUUACAGUCUCGAGUUAGAAACUUUUUUUCUUCGAGCUCAAUAGAACUGGAUGAUUAUGUUCUUUUUGAAGCUCGAACGAAAUUCUCUCCUUUCGAGCGCUCACAGAACGAUCCAAAUCCGAAUGGAAAAAUUUUUUUCGAGGAAUUAUGAUCUAAAGUUAGAAACUUUUUUCUUUGAGACGCUCAUAGAACGAAGAGUAUAAAGAUUUUCUUCCGUCAAAUAAAAAAUCGAAAGGAGGCGUUCAUAAAAUCAUCCAAAUAAUUGGGAGAAUUUUUUCGAAGAAUUAUGAUUUAAAGUUAGAAACUUUUUUUUUCAGGCAUUCAUAAAAGGAUCUAAAUGAUUAAAAGAUUGUAUUCUUUCGAAGAGUUAUGCUUCGAGACUGCGAGGAAAUUUUCAUUCGUGGGAUAAAAUCAAAAAGAAGCGUUCAUAAAAUGAUCCAAAUAAUUGGAAGAAUUCUUUCGAAGAAUUAUAAUUUAAAGUUAGAAACUUUUUUCUUUGAGACGCUCAUAGAACGAAGAGUAUAGAUAAAAAUUUUCUUCCGUCAAAUAAAAAAUCGAAAGGAGGCGUUCAUAAAAUCAUCCAAAUAAUUGGAAGAAUUUUUUCGAAGAAUUAUGAAUUAAAGUUAGAAACUUUUUUUUUCAGGCAUUCAUAAAAGGAUCUAAAUGAUUAAAAGAUUGUAUUCUUUCGAAGAACUAUGCUUCGAGAUUGCGAGGAAAUUUUCAUUCGUGGGAUAAAAUCAAAAAGAAGCGUUCAUAAAAUGAUCCAAAUAAUUGGAAGAAUUCUUUCGAAGAAUUAUAAUUUAAAGUUAGAAACUUUUUUUUUUCGAAGUGCUCAUAGAAUGAUCUAAUUAACUGGAAGACUAUGUUCUUUCGAAGAAUGAAGGGCAGAACGAAACUUUCUUCUUUGGAACGCUUGUAAGAACGAUCUAAACGAUUGGAAGAGUACGUUCUUUCGAAAAGCUAUAAGAACAUUUUCUUUCGUGCAAUAAAAUUAAAAAGAGUGCUCAUAAAACGAUUUAAAUGAUUGGAAGAUUAUAUUCUUUCGAAGAGCUAUAAAGAAAUUUUCUUCUGUGAAAUAAAAUUAAAAACAGGGGGUUCAUAAAACGAUCCAAAUAAUUAGAUUAUUAUGUUCUUUCGAAGAAUGAAGCUCAAACGAAAUUUUCUUCUUUUCAUAAAACGAUCCAAACGAUUGAAAAAGAAUUUUUUCGAGGAAUUAUAAUCCAAAGUUAGAAACUUUUUUCUUGGAAACGCUCAUAGAAUGAUCCAAAUAAUUGGAAGAAUUCUUUCGAAGAAUUAAAAGUCCAAAGUUAGAAACUUUUUUCUUUCAGGCGUUCAUAGAACGAUCUACAUUUUAUUAGAAGAGUAUGUUCUUUCGAAGAACGAAAGUAGAAAGAAAUUUGGAACGAUCUAAACGAUUGGAAGAGUACGUUCUUUCGAACAGCUACAAGAAAAUUUUCAUCCGUAAAAUAAAAAGCGUUCGUAAAAUAAUUGAAAUAAUAAAUUUCCAAGAAUAAUAAUCUAAAGUUGGAAACUGUUUUCUUCUUCUGCGGUAAUAAAAUGUGUGCUCCUUCCUUGGACAAAACGAAAAAAAAGCGAUUUAGAUAACGCGCGGCUAAUACGAUUACGUCGCAAUGGUCGAGACACGUGAGUUUAUUGGAAACCCAAAAUGGUAUGUCGUUCUGUCAAAGCCGUACGAAAUUCCCGCGGCAAAAAAACACGGCUAUUGCUCGAAUAUUUCGUGGCCGAACGCUAUGACGGGCGAAGAAAAUUUUCUCGCGAAUGCGGCCAAAUAUUUAGCGAUGGAUGCGCCUGGAGGAAAGAUGGCGCGAGAGAUGCGGGCUCGUGCUAUUUCCAAUUUAGAGUCGUCGCGCCCUCCUUCCUCCCGCAUAUUAACUUUGCCAACUUAAACGCGAAACUCUGAAUGCUCGAAACGCGUUCCACUCGAUCCGCGGUCUAAACGAUUUCGACGAGCCACGGUUCAAAGAUUCUGCUUUCGCCCCGUCGUGAUUAGAUUCCCGUGUAAAUAAUUAACACUCUGCAUCCGGUAAACGAUAAACUCGCUAUCUAUGGAUAGAAACGGCAAGAAAAAUCGUGGGUGUGAGACAGAGAAAUUCGGAUAGAAUUUCGCUUCGCGUUUUCUCGGCUUAUUUUUUUCGUUGCUAAGUAAAUUUUUUCGAGGCUCUUAUUCUUUUUUUUUUUUUCUUUUAUUUUAUUCUUCUAUUUCUAUUGUCGCUGUUGGACUUUGUUCUCACGAGAUCGGCGUUAUAACGGAAAAAAAAAAAAAAGAAAAGACUCGACCUUUGUCACUAAAUGACUAGAUAAUCCUAUUUGAUACUAUUAAAUAUGUUACACUUUGCGUAAUAAAUAUUGAUAAGAUCGAUAUCAUUAUCUAAUCCGCGUGCUAAUGUUAUACACGCGUUGAUGCCAACAACAGCGCGCGUAAUUGUAUAUUGAGAAUAAUCUAUUUCAGUGUCGUUCGCCAAUCUUUCUCCACGAAAUUCUAAAAUACCUAAAAAAAAAAAAAAAAAAAAAAAAAAUUACAAUUGAGCUUGAAUUCUUAUUGUAUCCAUUCUUUUAUUUCGAAUUUUUUACCUUCGUUUCUCGAAUUUUCACCCACACAGAUGUUUUUUAAUCGUUUCGAAGCAAUUCGCAACCGGAGACGUAAAUUUUAUAUCUCGAUAUCUCUAUCCUUCUAUUCUCGACUCGACCACACGACAUCCUUUUCACUUAUCCAACCUUCUCUCUCUCUCUCUCUCUCUCUCUCUUUCCUCCCACUUUGACGGACGUCGAUUAAUUCUUCGAUUUAACUGACAGGUGGAAAAAAACAAACAAAUUGAGAGGUAUGGAUAAAAUAAAAAAAAGAAGGGA
Apis florea (little honeybee) is the source of this 5825-nucleotide long non-coding RNA. NCBI's taxonomy places the organism in Eukaryota, Metazoa, Arthropoda, Insecta, Hymenoptera, Apidae. The record is from RefSeq and is a predicted model, not a curated record.